AGUGAACGCUGGCGGUAGGCCUAACACAUGCAAGUCGAACGGCAGCACAGUAAGAGCUUGCUCUUACGGGUGGCGAGUGGCGGACAGGUGAGGAAUACAUCGGAAUCUACUUUUUCGUGGGGGAUAACGUAGGGAAACUUACGCUAAUACCGCAUACGACCUACGGGUGAAAGCAGGGGAUCUUCGGACCUUGCGCGAUUGAAUGAGCCGAUGUCGGAUUAGCUAGUUGGCGGGGUAAAGGCCCACCAAGGCGACGAUCCGUAGCUGGUCUGAGAGGAUGAUCCGCCACACUGGAACUGAGACACGGGCCAGACUCCUACGGGAGGCAGCAGUGGGGAAUAUUGGACAAUGGGCGCAAGCCUGAUCCAGCCAUACCGCGUGGGUGAAGAAGGCCUUCGGGUUGUAAAGCCCUUUUGUUGGGAAAGAAAAGCAGCAGGUUAAUACCCCGCUGUUCUGACGGUACCCAAAGAAUAAGCACCGGCUAACUUCGUG
RNAcentral lists this ribosomal RNA (492 nucleotides) under uncultured bacterium. RNAcentral describes it as "partial 16S ribosomal RNA". It matches the Rfam family "Bacterial small subunit ribosomal RNA", at positions 29 to 507 of the family's 1533-position model. The record is from RNAcentral.